Long non-coding RNA from Seriola dumerili (greater amberjack), 285 nucleotides. RefSeq lists it as uncharacterized. Lineage: Eukaryota; Metazoa; Chordata; Actinopteri; Carangiformes; Carangidae. The record is from RefSeq and is a predicted model, not a curated record. The transcript has 3 exons.
GUUGCUGAUGAGUUGAAGUGUCAUGAUCCAGGAAAACUAAUCUGCAGUGCUCACCUCCACAUCAUGAUGAAGCUGAUCCUCUCUCUGACUCUCGUCUGGGCGCUCUCCAGCACAGCUGAAGCACUCAUGUGUCAAACUUGCACAGAUCAACAGUGUUCAAGUUCAGCCCUACUCCCAUGUACCUCAGAGACGAUGUGUAUAACAGCUUCCAUUCAAGCUGUUUCAUCUGGAACUCCAGCACAGCAAAUCCUCAAGUCGUGUGCAUCGUCCUCCCUGUGUCCAGCA